CCCUUCUCAGGGUCGCACCUGGAGAGUUUCCAGGACUCUACCAGUCUUGCUAAGGGAGGGAGAUUCAAGCAGAGGCCUAAUCUUUCCAUUCCUAGCUUGGCCAGUGGCUAGGGAGUGGAAGGCAAUCUGCUGCAAGU
Ornithorhynchus anatinus (platypus) is the source of this 137-nucleotide non-coding RNA. Lineage: Eukaryota; Metazoa; Chordata; Mammalia; Monotremata; Ornithorhynchidae. The record is from Rfam.